CCAACGACCAAAGCAAAGGACAGCAUAACUGAAUGACACAUUGCUCAGAAAAUAUCCAAAGCUCUGUACGCUCUGGAAAGGAAGGCAAGAAUUGCUAAAGACUCUGGAUAUUGCUCUGUUUCUAUAAGGUCCCACCCAUAUACCAUCUCUUCUUUUGGAUUUCCUUUGGCAGCUAUACUUGGCCCCAAGGUUCCAACCUCACAUUGAAGAAAGUGACAUAAGAAAACACAAGUCCCAGCGCUAUCAGGGGCUAUCUGGAAAAGCUGCUUAAACGGCAAGUGAAAGAAGGCUCUCCCCUACCCCGUUCUAGAUGACAGGUCCUAUGUAAGAUACACAUACCACAUGCUGUCAACCCAUCUGAGACACUCAGCUUUCAAAUGACAGCUCUUCUCUGAAGCUAACCUAGCCAAAAGAGUGAAGUACACUAUCCAUUAAGCUGUGUCAGUAGCUAAGUCUGUGUGUCUAAAUUAAAAACAUACUCACCCUGAAGUUAUUUGAAGGAUCCUUGAAACUCUUUUGGAUUGCUGCUUGGAGAACAUUCCUGUAACUUGUUCCUGCUCCUUGAACUAUAAAAGCAGAAGGGAAUUACUGAGUUAAAACUUAUAAAUUAUUAUCAAAUAAAUCUUCAACAGUGGUUCA
This 639-nucleotide non-coding RNA is filed under the name Pongo abelii (Sumatran orangutan). The record is from RNAcentral. Lineage: Eukaryota; Metazoa; Chordata; Mammalia; Primates; Hominidae.